GGGGGCGGGUGGGGUCUGGUGACCCCAGCGGUCUUCAAAACCGUCUGGCCCGGCUUGAACCCGGGCUGGUGAGUUCGAUUCUCACACGCUCCCGCCA
This 97-nucleotide transfer RNA is filed under the name Gammaproteobacteria bacterium. RNAcentral's name for it is "tRNA-Sec". It matches the Rfam family "Selenocysteine transfer RNA". The record is from RNAcentral. RNAcentral also lists the same sequence under 1 other name. Lineage: Bacteria; Pseudomonadati; Pseudomonadota; Gammaproteobacteria.